This 208-nucleotide ribosomal RNA is filed under the name uncultured Acinetobacter sp. RNAcentral's name for it is "partial 16S ribosomal RNA". It matches the Rfam family "Bacterial small subunit ribosomal RNA", at positions 568 to 774 of the family's 1533-position model. Lineage: Bacteria; Pseudomonadati; Pseudomonadota; Gammaproteobacteria; Moraxellales; Moraxellaceae. The record is from RNAcentral.
CGCGUAGGUGGCCAAUUAAGUCAAAUGUGAAACUCCCCGAGCUUAACUUGGGAAUUGCAUUCGAUACUGGUUGGCUAGAGUAUGGGAGAGGAUGGUAGAAUUCCAGGUGUAGCGGUGAAAUGCGUAGAGAUCUGGAGGAAUACCGAUGGCGAAGGCAGCCAUCUGGCCUAAUACUGACACUGAGGUGCGAAAGCAUGGGGAGCAAACA